GAUGAACGCUGGCGGCGUGCCUAAUACAUGCAAGUCGAGCGAACAGACGAGGAGCUUGCUCCUCUGACGUUAGCGGCGGACGGGUGAGUAACACGUGGAUAACCUACCUAUAAGACUGGGAUAACUUCGGGAAACCGGAGCUAAUACCGGAUAAUAUAUCGAACCGCAUGGUUCAUUAGUGAAAGACGGUUUUGCUGUCACUUAUAGAUGGAUCCGCGCCGCAUUAGCUAGUUGGUAAGGUAACGGCUUACCAAGGCAACGAUGCGUAGCCGACCUGAGAGGGGGAUCGCCCACACUGGAACUGAGACACGGUCCAGACUCCUGCGGGAGGGAGCAGUAGGGAAUCUUCCGCAAUGGGCGAAAGCCUGACGGAGCAACGCCGCGUGAGUGAUGAAGGUCUUCGGAUCGUAAAACUCUGUUAUUAGGGAAGAACAAAUGUGUAAGUAACUAUGCACGUCUUGACGGUACCUAAUCAGAAAGCCACGGCUAACUACGUG
This 497-nucleotide ribosomal RNA is filed under the name uncultured bacterium. RNAcentral describes it as "partial 16S ribosomal RNA". It matches the Rfam family "Bacterial small subunit ribosomal RNA", at positions 28 to 507 of the family's 1533-position model. The record is from RNAcentral.